RNAcentral lists this ribosomal RNA (497 nucleotides) under uncultured bacterium. RNAcentral describes it as "partial 16S ribosomal RNA". It matches the Rfam family "Bacterial small subunit ribosomal RNA", at positions 28 to 507 of the family's 1533-position model. The record is from RNAcentral.
GAUGAACGCUGGCGGCGUGCCUAAUACAUGCAAGUCGAGCGACCAGACGGUGAGCUUGUUCUCUUGCCGUUAGCGGGGGACGGGCGAGUAACGAGUGGAUAACCUACCUCUUAGUCUGGGGUGACUUCGGGAAAACGGUGACACUAAUGGCUCAUACAUUGAACCGCAUGAAUCAAUAGUGCUUGAGGGCUUUGCCGUCUCUUAUAGAUGGUGCCGGGUCGCAUUAGCUAGUUGGUAAGGUAACGGCUUACCAAGGCUACGAUGCGUAGCCGACCUGAGAGGAUGAUCAGCCACACUGGAACUGAGACACGGUCCAGACUCCUACGGGAGGCAGCAGUAGGGAAUCUUCCACAAUGGGCGAAAGCUUGACGCAGCAACGCCGCGUGAGUGAAGAAGGUCUUCGGGUCGUAAAGCCCUGUUGUUGGGGAAGAACAAAAGUAGGAGUAUCCCUGGACGUCUUGACGGUACCUAAAGAGUAAGCACCGGCUAACUACGUG